GACGAACGCUGGCGGCGUGCUUAACACAUGCAAGUCGAACGGUAAGGCCCUUCGGGGUACACGAGUGGCGAACGAGUGAGUAACACGUGGGUGAUCUGCCCUGCACUUCGGGAUAAGACUGGGAAACUGGGUCUAAUACCGGAUAGGACCACUGCCUGCAUGGGGGGUGGUGGAAAGCUUUUGCGGUGUGGGAUGGGCCCGCGGGCUGUCAGCUGGUUGGUGGGGUGAUGGCCUACCAAGGCGACGACGGGUAGCCGGCCUGAGAGGGUGACCGGCCACACUGGGACUGAGAUACGGCCCAGACUCCUACGGGAGGCAGCAGUGGGGAAUAUUGCACAAUGGGCGCAAGCCUGAUGCAGCGACGCCGCGUGAGGGAUGACGGCCUUCGGGUUGUAAACCUCUUUCAGCACCGACGAAGCGCAAGUGACGGUAGGUGCAGAAGAAGGACCGGCCAACUACGUGCCAGCAGCCGCCGUAA
Molecule: ribosomal RNA, 478 nt
Filed under: uncultured bacterium
Lineage: Bacteria
Description: partial 16S ribosomal RNA
Rfam family: Bacterial small subunit ribosomal RNA
Source: RNAcentral